This 464-nucleotide ribosomal RNA is filed under the name uncultured bacterium. Its description in RNAcentral is "partial 16S ribosomal RNA". It matches the Rfam family "Bacterial small subunit ribosomal RNA", at positions 28 to 507 of the family's 1533-position model. The record is from RNAcentral.
GACGAACGCUGGCGGCGUGCUUAACACAUGCAAGUCGAACGGAAAGGCCCUGCUUGCAGGGUACUCGAGUGGCGAACGGGUGAGUAACACGUGGGUGAUCUGCCCUGCACUUCGGGAUAAGCCUGGGAAACUGGGUCUAAUACCGGAUAGGAGCCAUUUUAGUGUGAUGGUUGGAAAGUUUUUUCGGUGUAGGAUGAGCUCGCGGCCUAUCAGCUUGUUGGUGGGGUAAUGGCCUACCAAGGCGGCGACGGGUAGCCGGCCUGAGAGGGUGGACGGCCACAUUGGGACUGAGAUACGGCCCAGACUCCUACGGGAGGCAGCAGUGGGGAAUAUUGCACAUUGGGCGCAAGCCUGAUGCAGCGACGCCGCGUGGGGGAUGACGGCCUUCGGGUUGUAAACUCCUUUCGCUAGGGACGAAGCUUUUUGUGACGGUACCUAGAUAAGAAGCACCGGCUAACUACGUG